GACUUCGUGGUGUAGAGCACGUUAGAUUGCAAGUCUAAAGGUGCGGAGUAAUUCUCCGCCGAAGUUU
RNAcentral lists this transfer RNA (67 nucleotides) under Boulengerella maculata (spotted pike-characin). RNAcentral's name for it is "tRNA-Cys". It matches the Rfam family "tRNA". From Rfam's summary of the family: Transfer RNA (tRNA) molecules are approximately 80 nucleotides in length. Their secondary structure includes four short double-helical elements and three loops (D, anti-codon, and T loops). Lineage: Eukaryota; Metazoa; Chordata; Actinopteri; Characiformes; Ctenoluciidae. The record is from RNAcentral.